CGCCAUCUGAAUCAAUUCUGAACGAACAGUAUCUCUAUCUGGCUUUGUUAUUAUUACAGUGUUAUCUGCACCCAGCCAGUAAGUAGAGAUAUGGAGAGAGGGGACAGCUUUGUCGCGGACCUUUCUUUGGUUUCUUUUAUGAACUCCACUGGUCGUCCAUGGAUUAUAGGGGCUUUCCAUUGUAUAUAAAUAAACUUUCGUAUCCUACUCUGCAAAUCCCAUUUUCCUUAAGCAUAUAGAAACC
RNAcentral lists this long non-coding RNA (244 nucleotides) under Nicotiana benthamiana. RNAcentral describes it as "long non-coding RNA (NBEN_LNC008314)". The record is from RNAcentral. Lineage: Eukaryota; Viridiplantae; Streptophyta; Magnoliopsida; Solanales; Solanaceae.